GCGUCAAAGAUUGUAAAUUUGAAAGUGGGUGCUCUUGAUUUUCUUCUCCGUCAUGAAGGAGCUCACCCACCACUUGCAACUUACAACAUUCUCCAACUUCCAGAUGUUUCAAGUUUUUGAGGAAACCUUGUGGAGGCUGACCCUUGCAUAAGGCUUCCAACCCAUCCAUAUCUUCCAUAAAUAAUGUCUCCAAAUGAGUGAAUGCUGAAGUUGGCCCAUUCUUUGUUGUAUCAACCAAGCAUUCAAGAUCCUGAAUUUCUCUAAGUUCAAGUUGUUUUGAAGUUUUGAAUGAUUCCUUGAAUGCUGAUAGUCGAACACCCUAAUUGUAAUUCACAUCAUCAUUAAAAACACAUUUUAUAUAUCAAUUAGCAAUCAAUAAUUGACAUACAAACAUAAAUAGUUAAAAUUUCUUUUAAAUCAAUAUUGUUAUCUACGGUAAAUACCAUCAAUGCAGAAUUAAACAAAUGGCAAACAACUCAAAGUAAUCAAACUCAUAAAUUACCUACUUUAAUUACUUGGAAGGCUGGAAAUAAAAAAAAAAAAAAUAGACAGUUAAUGAAAAUGUUACAUCUACAUGGUUUCUUUAAUUUGUAUUAAGUAAGAAACUAGAAAACAAUUCAUUUGUGUAGUAAAAAAAAUGCAUUUGUUGAUUACAAAUAAACCUAUAAUUGUGCAUAUCAAUGGCAUAGUGUAGUAGAGAUUCGGUGCCAUGACCCUCUAAAAUAGUAAUUUUUUAAUUUAGAGUCAUUAUAAUUUAUAAAAUUUUAAAUUAUUAAUGGUAAAAUUAUACUUUAACUCCAAAAAUAAUAAAAUUUGAUUUAAUUCUUUAAAAAUUAUAAAGAUAUAAACUACUAAAUUAAUAAAAUUUUACUUUUAUUAUCAUAAAAAUAUAUAAUUAAUUCUACUAAAAAAUUUCAGGCUGCUCCACUCUGCAUAUGGAUAUGAUUAAUUUUGUUUUAUAUUUUAACCCUGCUUUUAGCAAAAGUUAAAAGAAUGAGAUUGAAAAAGAAAAGAAAGAUAUUUUAUAAUGAAGAAAAACUCAGUAAAAUUAUAAUAAAGUUGUAAAUUAAUAUAUAUUAUCAAAGUUGUUAAUGUCCUAAUUGUUUUUAUGUAAAAAAAGAAAAGAAAAAAAAAGAGCUAAUGAUAUUUUUGAACCACCAAUAAAUAUUAUUUUUAUAUUAUUUACUUCCAUACACAUAGCAGUGCCAAUUGUAGUAUGGUUAAAAUAUCUUAAACAUUUUGCUGUAAAAUCAAUAUGAAAACUGAGUUAUGAAAAGUUAUAAAUAAAUAAAAUUCAAUAAUGUAUAAUUUGUAAGGGAGAAAAAGAACGUACCUUUAUGGAAGCUUUCUUAGCUUCUAAAUGAACAACCAAAUCAGUUAAUAGAGGGCAUCUUUUCACUGAAAAGGACGAUAACGAUCUCAAGAAUUGCUGGUGUUGGAGCAUACUGUCAUUUCCCACCCUGUCUUUGGCAACUCUAAACACUUGUUUUAAUUGAGAGCAAGCCUCUACGUUAAGAGUCAAACCCUGAAGCCCUUGUGGUGACAUCGACGUUGGAAAAAUAUACUCCAAACCAUAACAAUUUGAUAUGCUGACGUCUCCUAACUCUGGGAAGCACAAAGAAUUAUGAGAAUUGAUGGUUGGUGAUAUUUCUCCCUCGUCGCCUUCCAAUUCUGUCACUAUUUGCUUCAUUUCAUCACAGUAGCUUAUGUCAAGACGUUUCAAUUGUACUAGACUUUGAGCAAGAGAAAGUGAAAAGAGUGAUUUCAAACGUGGGAACUUUUUUAUAGUCAAAACAACUAAGCUUUCAAGUCUUACAUGUUGGGUCGGAAAAAUAUACUCCAAACCAUCACAAGUAGAUAUGUAGAGUUUUGUUAACUUUGGGAAGGACAAAGAAGUAUGAGAAUUGAUAGUAUGUGAUAUUUCUCCCUUGUCACCUUCUAAUUCUGUCACUGUUUGCUUCAACUCAGGACAAUAGAUUAUCUCAAGUUUUUCCAAGAGUACGAGACUUUGAGCAAGAGAAAGUGAAAAGAGUGAUUUCAAACGUGGGCAGUGUAGUAUAGUCAAUUCAACUAAGCUUUCAAGUCUUACAUGUUGGGUUGGCAAUUCCCAUAUGCAACUCAAAUCUGGCAACCUUUGAAGACGUAAAAUCUUCAAAUUUGAAAGGAGUGGAGCUUCAUUUUCCUCCACCUCCUCCAUUUGAAAUACCACUUUUAGAUUCUUGCAGUAAUCGAUUCUCACUAGUUUUAGAUUUCGUAAGAUCAUUGAUACCGACACCUUUGGUUGUGUUUUAUUAGUCAAGCAUUCUACAUACUCAUCCUUGAUUUUUGACACUUCAACAGACUCUAAAUUCCCAAGUAAUUGGGAAAAUGCAUUGUAAGGAAACACUUCCUCAAUUUUCAAGGAUCUUGUUGUGUCAAUAGUAUAACCAAAACCGGACAUUUCUCAGUAACCAAAAUUUAUACUAAAACAGUUUAUGCCAAUUUUGUAAUUUUCUAAUUCAGGAAACUCGAAGUCUAGUGGACAAUGUAGAGAAUGUACCUCAACUGAUAGUCUCCUUAAUUUGGUCAAAAAUUUUAUCUCGAGAAAGAUAUCAUUACUUAUACCCGAUCUUGGUAGAUACAACUCCUCUAACUGAGACAACCUUCGAAUAACUUUAGAUUGAAAUCUCCCAGAACACGCACAAUUGAUUAGAUCCAAUAUCUUUAGAUUUUCUAACAUCUCUAAUUCAUCUGCAAGAUCCUCGUACACCCAACCAUGUAAACUCAGGAUCUCAAGUGUUGUUAGGUUUCCAAGAAACGAAUAGUGCGCAAAAUUGUCCAAAUGCAGAGCACGGAGUUUUGGUAGGAACGUAAGAGCAUACAAGGAAAUAACCCCCGUACCAUAUACAGCUGUAAGAUUUAAAACUUUUAGUUCUGUCAUUCCUAAAAAACAUGUACCUUGUAUAUCGCAGUUAUUGAGCAAUAGGAUCUCAAGCUUUGAAUGCAUCAAUCUAUCAGGAAAUUUUUUCUUUUCACUGCCCAAUAAUGAGAUUGCUUUACUAGAUUCUGAGCUUUUAUUUAGUGUUUCCAAUCUAGAAUUGAUCAUAAAACUACUUUCUUCUUCUGAUGCAAUCCAUAGAGCAACAUCACGAACUAUAUCAUGUAACUUAACGUACCUAAUCAAGCCAAAAUAAAAGAGGAUGCAUUGAAUAAUAUUUUAUUAUUAUACAAUUUUAAGAAGAAUAAAAGAUAAAAAAGAAUGUAGAAAAAGGAACAAUAGGAAGAAAAAUUUUAAUAAAACAAAGAGGUGGAGGAAACUAUCAAAUUUAACUAUAGUAUACAUCUUAAUCAAAUUUUACAUUAUAUGAAUUAGACUUAAUAUAAUAUUUGGUAUUUAACUUGUCAUUUUUUCCUAACACUUUUCAUAAUUUAAUACCUAAACUUUUUUCUUUUUCUUUUUUGUAUGUUUAUGAGUAAGAUUUACUGAAUGUAAGACUAAAGUUAAAGUAGACUUCUGGAUUUAUGUUUUAUUUAUCAUUAAAAUAUUUCGAAUAUUUUUAUAUGUUAAUAUUUUAAUAGAUAAUUAAUAUUUUUAUAAAAAUAUUUUUAUCUUGUUAUACUUUUAUAUACUCUUCAAAAUGAAAGUAUAAUAGCUAAAUAACAUCAUUUGGGAAUCAAACACGACGAAUAAAUUUAUAUAAAAAUCUCAUAUCCAUCCACCAAUAAUUAUUUACUAAAAUAAAUUUAUAAUAUAUUUUUAAAAUAAAAUAUUUUCUUUCACCUACGGGAGUGACAAAAUCCCAAUCAUUUAUAAACAAAUGAUAUUUUUCAAGUUCAAGAAAUGGAGAGUCUAAAAUUGCUCGAGUUUGGCUAAGCUUGUGAACUUAGCAAGAGAACUCUAUCUAGUAUGUAUAUAUCAUUCAUCCUUUUAAGUUGUGUUUGUCUUAAAACAACUUUGAGAAAAAUGGAUUGAUUUUCUGAAAAAAUUGAUAUUUUUUAGUAUUUAAAUAAUUUUGCAUAAAAUAUUUUUUAUUUGAAUUUUCUUUCUAAAAUCAUUUUUCAGUGAAAUAAACCCAAGAUAAAUUAUAUUUGAUACAAAACAUUAUGGAAACACAUUUUUUUAAAAUCAAAAAUUAUUUUUAAUAAGAUAAUAUUUUGUAAUAAAUAAUAUAUUAUAAUAAGCAUUUUACUAUUUAAGGGCCGGGAUACCUAUCCAAUUUUAUUCCACAAGCCUAAAAGCUCGCCCAAUAUAUAGGUUUGAGAAACAAAUAGACCUAUUUAAAAUAUAGGUUGGGCCUGAACUUCAUCAUUCAAGGCUCGAUCCCAUCUAAUUUUAUACUUUUGUAAUAUAAUUUUAUUUUAUUUUUAUAUAUUAUAUAAUGUAAAUCACAUAAAAUAGAAUAUAUAAUAAUAUAAUACUACGAAAAUAUUAAAAUAUGUUAAGUUAUCUAUGUUUAAAAUUUUACUAAUAAAAAGAUCUAGAAUAUUAAAUAUUAAAUAUUAUCGGUAACCUAGAAUGAGCAUUAGUUAGAUAUUUGUAAACAUGGAUAGAUUUGAGUAAAAUUUUAGACCUAUAUUUUAGGCUAAUCUUAGCUUGGCUUGGGCAAAUAUAAAGCUACUAAUAUCAUAGAUAAACCAAAUCCGAACUUAGCCUAACUCAAACUAUAAACACUUUUAAUAAUAAAGAUUUAAUAAUAACAAAUAUCUAAUUAAAACUUAUUUUGAAGUUAUAUAUUGGGGGAAGGGGGAGACAACAAUGAUUAAAUGAAAUGAAAUAGGAUUUAAAUUAACAUUCAUAUUUAUUUUAUUAAAAUAAUCAUAUUUUAUAAUAUAAAAUAUGUAUUACUAAAUAUUUAUAGAUUGUAAUAUAUUUAUUAUCAAAAUAUUAUUAUUUUUCAAUAAAAUAUUAAGAACAUUACUUAAAUUUUAAAAUUAUUAUUAAUGCUAAUUUUUAUCAUUAAAAUAAAACUUAGUAUUAAAUAAUUUUACUAAAAUCAAUUAUAUUAAUAAUUUAUUAUAUGAUUAAAUAUAAAUAUGUAUGUUUAAUAAUAAAAAUUAUAUUAUUUGAGAUUAAUAAUUUAGUAUUUUUAUAAAAAAUAUUUUAUAUUUUCCUAAUAAUAAAAUAUAUUUGCUUAAUAUUUAAAUACAAAUAAGUAUUUUUAAUAUUUUUAUAAAAACAUUUUUAUAAAAAUAAUCUUACUUUGUAUAAAAAACAUAUUUUCCCUAAAACAAACUUUUAAUAUACGCAAAUACCAACUCAAGAAAGUGAUAGUUUAAACGAGAUAUAUAUAUAGCUUUGCCUUGGAAUUUAAGCAUCAUACCUUCUAAAAUCUUCAGCUUGCUUAACAAACCUGAUGAAGCCAAAAUAAAAGUAAAUAGCAUUUUAUUAUUAUAAUACAAUUUUUAGGAGAUGAAAAUAUAAAGAAACUACAAAAAGAACUAAUAAAACAAAAAUAUGAAAUUUAGCUUUUUUAUAUAUAUAUAUAUCUUAAUCAAAAGAUACAAAAGGCUAUUUCUUAGUUUUAGUCUUUAAAGUUAAAUAAGACAUGUAGGUUUAUGUUUUAUAUAUCAUUAAAAUAUUUAAAUUUCUUAUAUGUUAAUAUUAUAAAGAAAAUUAUUUGGUAAGCGGCAGGUGAAGUUUUUAGAUUUUACAAAUAGAAUCGAGUGGUUAACAAGUGUCUUAUAAAAAUAUAAUAAAAUAUUUAAAAAAAUUACAUGUGACAAUUUAGUAAUAAAAAAGUACAUUAGUAAUUUAAAAUUUUUUUAGUUUGGUUAAGCUUGCCUACUUAGCAAGAAAACUCUAUUUAGAAUUCUAAGUCUUGGUAUACCCAAAUACCAAUUAAUGAAAAGGGAUAAGCAUGUAUAGUUUGAAAAUGUAUCAUACCUUCCAACAUCUCCAUCUUCUAGCAAGCAAGAAUCUUUGAGGUAAUCGAUGACUUUCAAGACUUGAAUUCUCAUUUAUUCAAUAGAGUUAACCUUAUCAUAUAAGUUCAAACCCUAUGCAUAUCGCAUCAAGUCUUCCACAUUAAUUAAGUCAUCUUCAGGAUAUAACGCACAGAGUAAGAAACAUGUUUGGGACAUCUUGUCCUUCAAAUGCUCAUAACUGAUCUUAAGAGAAAUGUAGGCAUUUUUCUCUCUCUCUCUGUUUGAAUGCUUGGAAUCUCCAUUAAUCCACUUCUUUCAAGUUUUUUUCGUGCAUCUUUCCACCUAUCAAGAGCUUUACCUUUUAAAGCCUUUGCUAGUGUUACAAUGGCUAAAGGUAAGCCCUUGCAUUCUUUUGCAAUUUUCUUAGCCUCCCCAAUAACACGCGAAUCAGCUUUCUUGAUACCUGCAUUCAUUUCGAACAGAGUCCAUGCUUCACCAUCUUCCAAAACCUUCAGUUGAAUUGUCUCCUCACAUUCCAUAUGUUGACAAACAUUAUAGUUGCGUGUUGUCAAGAUGAUUUUGCAACCCUUUUCAUCUUUAACCAAUGGAAUACCUAUCUUUCUCAAAUCCCCAUCAUCAUUCCACUCCUUCCAUAGAUCAUCGAGGAUUACGAGAAACUUUCCAUUACUCAAUCUACUCCACAACUCUGUUGCUUUGCCGCCUUCAGUGUUCUUGCCAAAUUUCAAGUCUAAGUCAUCUGCAAUUUUGUUUUGUAUUUUUUCAAUGUCUACAGUUUCGGACACAGUGACCAUUAUAACUCGAUCAAAUCCUCUGACUUUACCACUCACGUUUCUGACUAAGGUGGUUUUGCCCACUCCUCCCAUCCCCCACACCCCUAUUUUUUUUACUAUAUCAUCCUUCAAUGCCUCCAUGAUCUUAUUGAAAGCAGCACCUGAAGAUUUUAAAUCCACAUUAUCCUUAGAUGUGACCAAAUCUAAGCUAGGAAGCUUUGCACGAUGGCCGACUCGUUUAAAUUCGGAUUUUUUUACGAGAUCAGCUAUUUCCAAUGUUUUAUUCUCAAUCUCCUGACUUAAUUGAUAUCGCCAACACCAAUUAGGACACAGACAGAAGCAUCUCUUAUUUUCUUCAAUUUCAGAGUCCAAAACUUUUACAUCCUUUAGGGCAUUUUCUGCCUUUGUCGGCCAUUCAUCAACUUGGUCGUAGAUCACUUGAGUUCGAAUCUGCAAUUUAGCCUCCUCAACGUCGUCUUUCACUUGAGUUUCUUUUGCAGCCAAAUCUUGUUGGUUUUGGUGCAGCUCUUGAACUAUCUUAUGAAAACGAAAUAAGUAACGAAUACGACGUUCGAUUGGCUUCACUAAAUAGUCUACCAACAAUGGUGCCACCAAACCAGAAGCAGCACUGAGACCCCACUCCGAACCCAUUGCUGUUAAUCUGAAUUCACAUAACAAAUCUGCUAAGCCUAAGCAAAAUGGUAGAGAAUACAGUUGAGAAUAAUUAUGAAAAGGUUGAGAGUUACCCCUUAAGAUUAUGAUGAAGAUAUACUAUAAUGUGAUGUUUAGAAGGCGCGCUCCUUGCUUCAAAGAAAAUGCUCCAAUUCUAAAUCUGAAAGCAGAGUCGUUGAAGCUGUGAACAAAAGUAUUUACUCCCAAAAAAAAAAAAAAAAGUGUGACAGAUAUAUAUUGAUGAUCAUAUUUUAUUAUUUAAUUUAACAAUACUUUAUAGGAUUCUUAAAAAUUUACAUUUUUAAAUAAUGUUUGCCAUAUAUUGUAAUUUCGGGCUGCCAUGUCACAUUGUGUUAUUGGCUUUUAGAACAAAAUCAUAAAAAUUUGUCCAAGUUAAUAAAGUACCUAAAAACAAUAUCCUAAUUGAAAUUAUUAAUCAAUUUGGUUUUUUUUUACUAAAUUACAUUAUCCAACUAUUAGUAAUUUUUUUGUCACCCAACUAUGAAAAGUUGCAAAACAGUUUUUCAAUCACCAAUUAGUUAAUGGUAGUAUAUUUUAAAUUUGACAUAAUAGCAAAUUUAAUCUUUAACAUUUAUAAAUUAUGUCAAUUUAGUUUUGAUACUAAAUAAUUGAACCCUCAACAUUUACACAUUAUGUAAUUUGGUCUUUUUUUUUUCAAUUUUGUUUUUCUUUAUGAUAUUGAGGGUUAAUUUUAAAAGAAUGAGAAAAUAUGAAAAUUAUUAUCUUAGAUUUUUGGGUGUUUUCAUUUUUUGUAUAGUUGAUAAAUUUGUUUUUUUAACAUUUUAGGUGAAAGGGUCACAAAGAAAAGCAAAACUGUAAAAAAAGAGACUAAUUUACAUAAUGUAUAAAUAUUGAGGAUUAACUUUUUUUUUAGAAUCAAGACUGAAUUCACAUAAUUUAUAUAUGUUGAGGAUUCAAGUUGCUAUUAUGCCAAUUUUAAAAGCUGUCACCGUUAACCAGCUGGUGACCUAAAAAAGACAUAAUUGAAUAGUUAGGUAACCAUUUUGUAACUUUUCAUAGUUAGGUGAACAAAAAAAACACUAUUUUUAUAACUUUUCAUAGUUAAGUGAUCAAAAAUAAAUUUACGAAGAAUUGGGUGCGUAGUAUUAAUUGGCUAAGCAAAGGGAUAAAUCCAUAAUUAAUUCGUUUGAAAAAUGAUAAAUUAAUUAUGUUUUAGCCCUUUGAAAGUAAAUACAGACUUCCCACUACUCCAAUACUUUAGAUGUUUCCUUUCUACGUCUGUCUUAGUAGUCAAUUGCUCCAUAUCUGACCUUAACUGAGUUAUUCUGAGGGAAAAAUAUAUAUAAUUGAAGAUAAAUGAUUUAAUAUUUAUUUUAAUGUCUAAACUACUACUUUUUCUCAUUUUGAUACAUCAAACAUUCUUAGUACUUAAACAUUUUAGUCCUAAGCCUCACGUGGCUAAUUCAGAUAUAUUAUAUAAUUUUAAAAUUAAAAUUAAUUAUUUUAAAUUAAAAUUUUUAAAUUUUUAUUUUUAUUUAAAUAAAAUUUUAAAUUACUUUAAUUAAUGAUAUGGGUUAUAAAUUAACUACUUUAAUUACUAUGCUUAAAAAUUUUAAUUUAAAAUUAAUUACUUUAAUAUAUUUAUUUUAAAUUUAUCUAUGAUUAAUUUAAAUUACUUUUAUUUAUUUUAAUUACUAUGAUUAAUUAUUUAUUUAUUUUAAAUUACUUUAAUUAAUGAUAUGGGUUAUAAAUUAACUACUUUAAUUACUAUGAUUAAUAAUUUUAAUUUAAAAUUAAUUACUUUAAUAUAUUUAUUUUAAAUUUAUCUAUUUGUCUCACUAAAUAAUUUCAUUAAACAUCAAAAUUAUAGACAAUAAGUGAAAGACUUCGUCGGUGGGCAUAGCUGGCUGUCGGCCACACUUUAAAAUGUCUAAUGUGGUAUUCGAACUAUCAAUUUGUGUAUCAUUUGGUACCUGUACAUUCAUAAAAUAUACAAUGUGGUACUUAUACUUUGGAAGUGUUUAACAUAGUACCUAAUAUAUCAAUCUGUGUAUUAUUAUGGUACCUAAAAUUAAAACCUUUAGACCUUAGCAAAUGCUAAACUAACUAAUGAGAAUUCAAUAUGUAAAUUUUGUUCUAAAUCUCCGAUUCUAUGUAGAUGAUACAACAUUAUGUGACAAAAAUAAAUAAAACAAAAAGUAAAUAACUAAACCUAAACAACAUGAGUUCAACUUUACAAAAACCAUCGAACUUUAACUUAAAAUUUCUUCAACUUUUUAAAUACCCUAGAAUUUUCCAAAUAUUUUCAAAAUUUAUACAAGCCAAAAUUUUUCAAAAAUUAUGUCCCUUACUUCUUAUUGAACUUGAAUGAGAGGUUGAAUAACUUCAUUUCGACUACCAUUUUUUAUUUAUUAUUUAUCUCUUCAUAUAAUAUUAUAUUAUCCAUGUGAAAUUGAUGAUUUGAAAAAAAAAAUUCAUGUGUUGGUUUAGUAAUUACCACGGGUGUUGACUCUAUGUAUCAUAAUAAUAUACAAAUCAAUAGUUCAGAUACCAUAUUGAACAUUUCAAAGACCACUAUAGUAAACGAAAAUAAAGUACAGAGGCUUAAUUGGACAUUUUGAAAGUUUAGGGGUCACAUUAGAACAAACCCUAAAGUAUAAGGGCCUUUGAUGAAUUAUCCCUUUUUUGAAUUUAAUACUAAUUCUUAUUUUGGUAAUGGGUCGUUUAAGGGAUCUCAAGUGAGGCUUUGAUAGAUUAUUUAUAUUUUAUUUAUUAAAGCUAAAUGUGAUUAAACUGGAAAUAGGAUCCAACAAAUAAGGAAUUGAGUUUAAUGGCUAAAACAAAAGCAGUACUAAUGAGAAUAAGGAAGAGAUUCGUGUCUCCAAACUUACCUCCAUUACGUUCAAUCAUCAGUCUUCAUGAGCUGCUGCUACUUCAACUAAAAGCUGGUCUUUUUUUUGGGGGGGGGGGGGGUGGGGCAAAUAAAAGAAAAGAAAAGAAAAGAGACUGGGAGUGGGAGUGGAGAAAAGGAAAAUAGGAGGUAGCUUCUUCCUUUUCCUGUUAAAAGGAGGAGACUGGAAAUCAAACUAAAGAAGAUGAAAACAGAGGAAAGACCAGAUUUUAAUUUUUCGUGAAAAGAAAAAAUGAUGGUGAGAACGGUUGCAAUGGGAAUCUUAAACAGAGAUGAGAAAAUGCAGAGCAAAGAAACAAGGAAUACAAAGGGCCCUCAAAUACCAGGAUUCAAAUUGUAAUAUAUAUAUAUAUCAUGUGAUGUCUGAAAAUUAUUCAGAGAUAUCUAAAAAUUAUCUCAAGAUUCCUGAAAAUAUUUUAUGAGUUAGGGUUAGAGUUGACUAAAAAGGAAUACAGAGCAUGAAGGGCUGUCUUCUAUGUGAAAUUUGUAGGAGCUUUCCUUCGACAAAUAUUUUCAUAUGAAUGGCAUUUUAAUCCUUUUAUUCUAUUCUGCUAAUCACAUGGUUUCCUCUGAUUAUGGGAUUUCCCACUAAGUUUUAUAAUCAUUAAUCUCAUAAAAUUAUGAGAUUUAUUAUAAGAAACUUUGAUUUAUUAUAAGAAACUUUAUAACGUGGGAAUAUUAUAUUAUUCAUACAAUUUUUCUGACCUGAGAAAAUAUUCGUAUUUUCGAAUAUACAUUUAAAAAAUAUAAAAAGUAAUUCUUUUAUGAGUAUCACACCGUGUAGAGAUAUUCAUGAGUGAGGUCUAACUAAAAUCUUAGGCUUGAUAAACAGUUACAAGCUCAAUUCAACCUAAAAAAUAAGUUUAAAUUUUUGUCUAGACCCAAUCUAAAUUAUAUAUGCUAAACCCGAACACGACAUAAUCCAUGUAGACAACGAGCAGUCAACAGUAAUGUCACCUUGAUGAAGAGAAUUUGCACAAAGGAAGAAUAGCUUAAGAGUAAAUACUUGAUGAUCUACAAUUCUUUACUUGCUAUUUAAAAAAAAAAAAAAACUAAAUUAAUCUGUAAUAAAUAUAAAAUAUGGAAGGCUGUAACCUAUGGCAAAGUAGCCUGAGGCUAGAUUUCUUCAAAUACUGCCAUUGCAAGAACAAAAAGGUUGAAUAACAUUUUUGGGUCCGAUUGAAAACAAAGCAAACAAGAGAUAGAACCUUCCAUAAUCAGGAAUUCCACAUCCAGUGCUAAUUUCCGCUCCUGUCAAUACCGCAACCUUGGUGCUGCAACAUACAAAUAGCAGUCAAAUAUUUAACCCAUUGGAAUACAUUUACAUCCUUUAUUGUGUGGCUACAAUUACAACAGGAACAAUAUGCAAAGCCAAGGACAAGAAUAACCUGUACAAGCCCAUUUCGCCCCAAACCCAAAUAACUUAACAAAAUAACAAAACCCAAUAAUAAUAUAAAAAAACCUAUAGGCCCGAUUGGCCCAAAACCUAAACUUUUCAGCAGAAACCCUAGCCCCUGUUGCGCCGCACCUAACCUCUGCCACCACCUGCCACCGUCCCAUCGCCGCGCACCUGCUCACUGCUAUGCCACCAUCAGUCUCUGCAAAGUGAAAAGGAGCACGCAAAGCAGAAGAAAGCAGUAGCAAUGAGAGAUUUUCUUGGAUUUUUUUUUCGGCUAUAAAGCCGAAUGUGUUGUAAAAUGUAAAAGGGGGAUUUUCGGUGUAAAACCGAUUAAAAAACAAUUGUAAAAGAGAGGAUUUCAAGAAAUAAGAAGUAAAAAAAAAAACAGAUUCAAGGACUUUGCUUUCGGUAUAAGAUCUAUUCCUCUUUUAUUUAUUUAUUUAUUUUUCUUUAUUUUCCUUCUUUCUCAAACUGUUUAUAUACAUACAUAUAUUUCUUUAGUUUUUCUUUUUUUAACUAUUAUACAUAUAUAUUGAAAAAAGUUUAAAAAAAGAAAAAAAAAAGGGAAAAAAACGCACCUUUUCAACUUUCCGGCCACCGUGGACGGCGGCGCCGUCACCGGUGACCGGUGACCGGCGGCCGGCACGGCGGGGGUCGGCCCGUCCUCUGGCCGGAUUUUGGGCUGAGAAAGGGAAAGGGGAGAGAUUUUAAGAGAAGGAAAUUUUUUUUAAAAAAAGAGGGCUGAAAGUGAAGUGUUUUGAAAAAAAACUGGGUUUAAAUAGGCUUCCAAAACGACGUCGUUUUGGGCAGCCUUCUCAGGCACCAAAACGGCGCCGUUUUGAUCUGACCCGUUGGCCGACCCGACCCGCUCCUGGAGGAUCCGCGUGUUUUCGACGGAAGGGCUAAUUGCACCUUUAGCCCUUCCGGUUUUUAAUGGUUUUAUAAUAAAGUCUUUCAUUUUUUUUAAUUUGGCCCCGCGGUUUUUGCGCCUAUUCUAAUUUGGUCCUGAACGAAAUGGCGCGCUAAAGGUUGGGAAUAUUUGCUCAAUCAGCCCUCCAUUCUUCGGGCGCAUUAUUUUUUGGUCCCUCGGGACCCCUUUUUUUCGUUUAUUUGCAUUUUAAGCUCCAAAUUUCGUCUCAAAAUUCGAUUUAGCCCUUUGUUUUAUUAUUUUUAGCUAUUUUAUUAAUAACAUUGAUAAAUUAUAUAUUAUUAUGACUGUUAUUAUAGUUUGUUAUUGUUAAUAUAUUAUUGUUUGUGUUUACUUAUUUAAGUUUAAAGUGUAGGUGUCUUAUUAUAUUUAUUAUUAUAUAAUUUUUAUGUUUUAUAAUCCAUAUAUAUGUAAAUCCAUAUACGUAUUCAUAUUUUUAUUUUUAUUUUCUUUUAUAUGCUUACAUAUAUGUACAUAUUUACAUUGUUUUAUUAUAUAUAUACUUUUAUAUUUUUUAUAAUUUUAAUCAUAUUGUUAUUUACUUAUUUAUUUAAGUUCUCAUGAUUAUUUUAAGAGAAUAUUUUAUUUUUAUUUGCUUAUACAUUUGUUAUUUUGUGAAUUGUUGGUUUGUUCUUUUAUUUAUUUUAUUUUGAUUGCUAUUGCUUGUAUUAUUUUUUUAUAUACUUUUGUAUUUAUUAUGGUUUUGCCAUGCAUAUCAACAAUGUAAUUUGUUUUCACAUCCUCUUAUUACGACUUCGUGUUUCGUUUUACUCAAUAUGUCAAAACUUGUUUUAAAUAAAUGGCAUUUUGUGUUUAGAUUCGAGAGGAUCGUACCCUAACUUACUGGGUUUCGAUUUUUACGAUAAAUCUAAAUGCACGAAUUUUUCGAACUCAAAUUUCAAAACGAUCUCGGGAUUUAAAAAAGGAAAUACGUCCUAACUUACUGGUCGUGAACUCAUUUUUAAACCCGAGAUGGCUAAAAUGUCUUUUAAAUGAGUAAAAUUUUGGCAUUUUUACGUGUCGGGAAUUCGAGACAUUGUGUCCUAACUUACUGGAUAUGAUGCUUUCUUUCUCGAUUAACGUGGAAUAUACCCCUUUUAAAAAAAUUUCAUUUUAAUACAAGGAUCGUAUUUUUAAUUUUUCCAAGUUUUCAAUGUUCGACAUCAAGACAUUAGUUAAUCAACUAGGUACCAAUUUCUGGGCGUUACGAGGGUGCUAAUCCUUCCUCGUACGUAACCGACUCCCGAACCCGUUUUCUAAAUUUCGUGGACCAAAAUCGUUGUCUAAUAAAAUCAAAUUAUUUAUUAAAAACAACCCUUUUUCUAGGUGACCCAAUCACACCUCAUAAAAAGGAUUGGUGGCGACUCCCGUUUUCGUUUUCAAAACCCAAGUUGACCCCGUUUUCAUCCAAAAAAUGGUGUCAACAUAACCCUUGGUCAAUGAGUUGAUACAAGUGGUUUACGUCUUCAGCACUCGGAGGAUCUGCUAGCGGAACCACCUUCUUGUCUGAAGGUGAACAAAUGAAUAUUUUUAAAUAUAAUAACUUAAUUAAGUUUAUUUAAUAAUAUAUAACAAAGUAAUUUCCAUCUCAACAAAGUAAAGGAAAGAAAUUAGUGACAGUCAACAAAAAAUAAACCACGUGGUACCCUAUGUGGCAAAAACAUUAUACAGAAGUUAGAUUUACUUGUCACAUUAUAACCGUAGUUAAUUUUUAACGGUUAAUAUUGGUUAAAAGAUUUAUUUGACUAAUUUUUUUAGUUAAAUGUUUCAAGUGGGUCAAAAGGACUUAAUUGAGUUUUUUAAAAGGUUCUAACGCUUAUAAUACUAUUAAGCCUUCAGUUUAUCAUACCUUACUCAUCUUCAAUAUUGAUAUGGGUAUAUGAUAUUUUCGGGGUUUCCUUUAUAUUUUUCCACUCCUCCAUCAUUGGUGAAAAUGCUACGUGCAAUAUGUAGAUUGGCAAAUUAAGGGACCUAACCCCUAGCAAAUUGUAGGAAACACCCUCCCCAACCACCUUUCUGUCCCUCAAAAAAGGCAACAAAGUUCAUCAUUCUUUGGACAGAAAAUUUAAUCAUUUCAACCCCAAAAAGAAAGGGAAAAAAGGGGCUGAUAAUGAAAAAGGAAGCAAAAUGAUAGCAAGUGCUCUUCUAUGUUAAACCCAAAUUGCUAGUACCAGCUCUAUUUAUUGCAAGUACCUUGAUUCUACAAGUAAAUCUCCCUACACCUCUAAGUUUUCCCUUGAUACUUUUUUUUUUUUACUUACAAUCCAUUUGGUAGGAAAAAGUUGAAAUGUAAUGGUGGAAUUACAUUAUAACAUUGGGUUGAAGCCCAAGAAUCCUUAUCUCUUCCCUAAUUAUUGAAUGCAUAUAUGCGCAUGCAGAAAAUGGUAGGCAAAACCUAGCUAUGCCUUUGUUUUUAGUUUUCUUUUGUUUAUUUCACACUUCUUUUGAACAAGGAAAAGGGAGAAACCGACCGAAAGAAGGGAAGUGAAAAAAAAAAAAAAACUUUUUAAUCUGAUUUUAAUAUAAGGGACACAUGAUCCGAAAUUAAAGGAGAGAGUUCUUCUUUUUACAAAUUAAAAAGAAAAUCAUGAGAUGAAUAGGAAAAAAAACUUUUUUUUUUAUCUCACAUAUUUGAAAUCUAAAAAAAAUUGUUUAAAACCAUUUUUGGUACAUUUUAUAAUUAGGGAGGAGAUGAUAACAAUCAAAUUAAACCUUGGUCUGUGGAUACAACAAGGGUUUAAUCAUCGCUCCUUUAUGCCUUUAGUAUUUUUGUAUAGACUAAAAUAUGCUCUAAAUCUUUAUAUUCUCUUUUUACCUUUGAAAUUUAAUUUUUCUAAUUUUAUUUUAUGGAGCUUAGUUUUAUUUUUUUAAUUUAAAAAUGUCAAUUUAAUUGUUAACAUUAUUAAAAAAAAUUUUAAAUUUAAAUUUAUAACAACAUUUUUUUUACUGCAUGGUCAUCAAAUGAGUAUUUUUAAUUUUAAUAUCUCAUACUAAUGAAUUUGACACGAAAAUUUUAAGGCGACAUUAACAAUUAGAUUUAAAUUUUAAAUUCUAAAAAUUAUAUGGACCGAAUUCUUGAAAAAAAAUAAAUUCUAAUUUUAUGAAGAGUAGGAGAAUAAAUUUUUAACUUUUUAAUAUAUAAUUAUAAAAGUGAAACAAAAUUGACGUGGAAAAUUGAUUGAAGUCAAGAAACAAUAUCCGGAAAUUCAUGUCCCCAUACCAAACAUGUUCAGAUGAUGGAAUCUGCAAUAAUAAACUACAUUGAAAAGAGUGUAUGAAAGGCACCCCUUUUGCUGAAUAGAUUCUACACCAAUCCCAUCCCAUCCCAUCCCAUCUUUCUAUUUCUUGUGUCUUCAUGUCUCUCUCCUUUCAAUGCUACGUUGAAAAUACGGGGUGAGGUGAAAACCCUCAUCCUUUUUUCUUCUAAUUCCUGGUGAAAACCCUACAUGCAUGUCUGCAUGUCUCUCAUCCCAUCCCAUCUUUCUAUUUCCAUCUGUAGCUUAAAUAACAUUAUAAAUAUAAUUUUAAUUCUUUUUAUAAACGAUAGAUGUAGGUGUUUUCUAUGGAUUGAACAAUAAUAAAUUAAAUUAGAUGUUGUAUAACAUUUUCUUACAUCAAAUUUUAGUAAAUUAAAUUUUAUUCGAAAUAUAAAUAAAAUGUUUAAUAUAAAAAUAUACUAAUAAUAUUUUGUUUUUUUUAAAGUAUAGUAUGAAUUAAUCUUUAAAAAUGGAAUUAUUUAAAUAUUUAAUAUUAAAUUAAUUUAUAUAUUAUAAAUCAGGUAAGUCCACUUAAUUAGUGAAUGACAAAAUUAUAUAAAAAAUUAUAAAAUCAACUUUCUUAUUCAUUAUAAUGAUGAUAAAUAAUAAAUAGAUUUGAUAUAUAGGUAUAUAUAUUUUUGAAAGGAAAUAUUUCACUAAUAACUUAAAUACACAUAUAACGAAUGAUUAAAAGAAAAAAGAAAAACGAUAACUAAAAUCUCAAUCCAUACACCUAAUUCUAAGUCCUAUCUCUUUAAUUGAUCCAUAACAUGGAAAUCUUCCAUUCACAAUAAUUCACAUUAUAUGAGUUACCUUUUUAGUGCUUUUAAGACUCUAAAUGAAGUAUAUAUAAAGAUAGAAAAUGAGACUAAAGUUGGAGAUAAUCUUUAAACCAGCGUUCCAAAUUUACACACAUCAUUGUUUCGACUGUGCCCAAAUUAAGGCCUCCUUGACUGCGUAUAUUUCAGCAACUUUAGGAGCCAUCAUUGGAUUAACAUGACCCUUUUGCAUCACGGACUACAGCAGACCAGCCUGCAGCAUUAGCCUCCCUAAAUAACGUGGCAUUGAUAUUGCACUUCACCCAUUCCAUAGGCGGCUUUGACCAGCAUGAACCGACAACACCAGAAACUGCUCCAGGCUCUUGAACUUUAUCAAUAGUUCGUCAAACAUCAUUCCAAUCUUGCAUAAAAGAGACAGAAAAAGCUAGGAUAUGAGCGGUUGAAGCAUUUUUCGAUUGCCAUGCAAAAAGGUUCCUAUGGAACCAAAGACUCCACAUAAUACUUAAAGCUCAACCAACGAGUUGUUUUUAGUGAUAUAUAAUGAAUCAAAAUUGAUAUUGUGUGAAAAAAAAAUCAAAGAUAAUGCACAUACAUACCAUCUGAUUGCAUCUGCAACCAAUCUUGUGUCAAAUCAAUUCCUGUCGAAUAUCGGGAUUCAGUGAGCUACGGGUGGGGGACCUAAGAUAAUGAUACUGCCAAAGCUAAAUUGCAUUGCUCCAAUAUUGAUAGAACCUUGCUUUCAUCUUUGCUGCCAAUGAACUAAGAAAAGUAUUUGGGAUCUUGCACAAUUCAAUCAACAGUAUGUAAACAUGACAGAUUUCAGGAAAAUAUACAUUUGCAGUAGGACUUUUGUAACUAGAGAAGACAUUAAUGGUUUCAAUAAAUAGCUUGAAAUAGCCAGUAAUGGAACUUGCCCAUUCCCACUCUUCACCACUUGAAGCAAGGUCUGAAAAGUUCUUAUGAAAAACUUAAGCGAACUAUGUAGCAUUGUUGUAAACAUGUUUGCCCAGUAAAGAUGGAGCACCUACUCACCAUGUACUGACCAUAUUUCUCUUUGAUUGCAGGCAAAUUAGCAACACCAACAUUACGGUAGAGAUGAUGCAGUCCCCUAAAUUAGAGGGCUGGCAUAGUGUGUAAUCCCUCAAUAUAGAAUCCUGCCCAAUACAAUGAAAAAGAACAGACAUAUAGCUGAACAAAUCAGUACUUAGUAAAUAAACUAUGCCUGGGACGUACCAAAUAUUACUGUCAAGACAUAUAGCUCAUUUAUUUUUGUCAAAAAAAAUCAACAUAUUAAUUUAUUCAUUUCUACAAAAAUCAACCAAUGGGUAAAUUGUCCAACGUAUGUUUUAAAAUGCUUUCAGUAAAUAGCUUGAAAUAGCCAGUAAUGGAACUUGCCCAUUCCCAAUCAUCACUUGAAGCAAGGUCUGAACUUCAGAUCAAGCUCUUAUUAAAAACUUAAGCGAAUUAUGUAGCAUUGUUGUAAACAUGUUUGCCCCGUAACGAUGGAGCACCUACUCACCUUGUACUGACUAUACUUCUCUUUGAUUGCAGGCAAAUUAGCAACACCACCAUUACGGUAGAGAUGAGGCAGUCCCCUAAAUUAGAGGGCUGGCAUAGUGUGUAAUCCGUCAAUAUAGAAUCCUGCCCAAUACAAUGAAAAGGAAUAGAUAUAUAGCUGAACAAAUCAGUACUUAGUAAAUAAACUAUGCCUUGGACGUACCAAAUAUUUCUGUCAAGAUUUUAGCUUUUAAAUGCUCAUUUAUUUCUGUCAAUCAAAAUCAACAAAUUAAUUUAUUCAUUGCAACAAAAAUUAACCAAUGGGUGUUUUAAAAUGCUUUUCAAGGUAGCAAAUGCAUCAAACUCUGUACAAAAAAUAAAGAACGAGUAGAUAUUCCAUAAAAGAAGCAACUCGAUCGAUCAGACUUUGAAAAACAUAAUCAACAAAUAAGUAACAAUUAGAACUAAAAAGAAGAAUAAAAAGAACCAAAAAACCAAGGCGAGAAGAAGGGUAAAUGGUCAUGCCAUAUUUACCUAGUUAAUUAACUAGUGUUGACUGUUGGUACAAUCGACGUGAUUUAGGCACAAGAAUGAUUUUUGCAACAUUUUUCACUGAAAGGGUGAAAUUUCUUCAGCUUCUUCUUUAUACUGAGGUAGUGAGGUAGGUCUUCUCCUUUUCCAAAUUAUAUCUUCCCGUGAGGGACUGGUAUCAUUUAGCUGAGAUGCCUUCAUUUCAUAACAAAUUAAACUUCGUUGAGAAUAACAUAAAAAUAAAAUAAAAAUUACUCAAUUUCAUAUAUAUUAGAAUAACAUAAAAGAGUGUAAUUGGGAGGAUAAAUACCUGAUCAGUUUUAGCAUGCACAGUCAAUGUUAAAUAAUCUGCACUGAAACUUGUGAUCAUCUUGGAACAUUCCUUAAUGUCAAGCGAAUGUAAACAUGGGAAUUCCAGAUGAUAACCCAUAGGGCUGAAGCUCUCGAGCUUUGACAAAUUUUCAAGUUCUAUUUCCUUUAACUGAGGGAAUACCAUUUUCAUCUCCAACUGAGGACCUUGUGAUGAUGAUGAAGAUUCUAAAAUGUCAUCAUUUCCAAUUAUUUUCUUCAAGUUCACACAUGACUUUAUCUUUAGAAUGCUUAAUUGUGGUAAAUAUGGAAUGAGCGUCUCUGGAAAGAUGUAUGUCAAGUUAUUGCAGUGGUGAAUCCAUAGUUCUCUAAGAUUGAUUGCAACAUGGAUGGAACCAUUCCAUAUAUCUUGCAACCUAAUCACAUUAGAAAGCUCCAUUCUCUCUAGACUUGAGAUAAUAUUUCCACCCUGAAGCUGAAACAAUUGUUCAAAGUUCCCCAAAGUUAUAUAUUCGAAAUCUGGUGAUUUUUGUAUCAACUGAGUGUUUACCGUAUCACUCAAAUUGACAUCUUCACUGUCUAUAUCUUCCAUAAGGAAGGUCAACGCCUGCAUAAAAGUAAAUGGAAGUGUUAUUCUUUUAAGUUCUUUCAAUAUCAACCAAGUAAGUAUGGCACUCUCAUAUUUGGUUUUCUUUUUAACUUUUAAUCACAUGAAUUGACAAAUUGUGCAUUAGAGACUUUCCACUUUUCUAAGGAAAUUAGAUUUUAAUAAAAAUGAAAUACAAAACUUCUUUUUAAAAGAAAUAAAUAAAUAAAACAAAGGAAUUAAGAAAACAAAACCGAAAAGGAAAGUACCUUUAAAGAACCACACUUCUUAACUUCUUUAGGAAAAGUAAAAUUUGCAAACACUGAACAUUUCCGGAUAUGUAAAAUUUCCAAAAUUGGUGCUUCCAAAAAGUUGUUUCCUCCAACAAUACUCCUCAAGUUUCUCAAUCCAAAAAGUUCUACCUCCCGUAGAUAAGAAAAAACUCCAACUGAAGCAUGUGGGAAGACAUAUUCUAAACUGCAGCAGCUUUCAAUCUCCAAAAUUUCCAAGUUUGACAAGUAAUAUGCGUUUGAUUCUAUUCCAUCAUCCAUUCGAAAUAUCUUUGACAAAUCUUUACAAUCAGAAACUCUCAAAAUUUUGAGAUUUUGCAAGAAACACUUGGGAGAUUGGUCAUUGUACUUGAAAUCCAUCAUUGCUUGGGAUAUAUCAACCAAGCAUUCACCAUCUUGCCAGCCGUCAAUACAGAGGGAAGUUAAUCCGUCUAAAUGUUCCAAAUCUAUAAGAUCUGGGACGAGAUUUUUGUGAUCUCCAAUAUUGUAGAGAAUAAGAUCGUUUGUAUUGCAUAACAAUUCCUUGAAUACCGAUAAUCCAGUUUUCUAAUUGUAAUUCAUCACAUAAAUGAAAAUAAAUCAUUAAUUAAUUAAGGAAAGAAUAAAUUAAAUAUUAGAUUAAUAUAAUAACAUAUUGGUAUCAUAAAAAUAUAUAUAUAACACAGAUUGGCAUAAUAAUUACCAACAAGAUAUAUGAUAAUUAUACACAGCGAAUACAACUAUUUUUAUAUAUUUUUUAAGCUCAAUUUUAAGGUUGGGAGGGGCAUGGCAUGAAAAAGUUUAAUAAUUAGAAAAAUCAAAUAAAAAAUCCAGAAAAGGAAAAAAGAGUAAGAAAAGUGUACCUCUAUCGUUAACUCCAGCUGAUUGUUGGCUUGUUGAAUGGGAAUGUUUAUCACUUUAGGACAAUCAUUAGCUCCCAAUCUUUUCAAAGAUGGUGCUUUGACAAUAUAGUUUUGUGGGACAAAACUAGUAAAGUUUCGUAACCCUUUAAGUUUUAGACAUUGUAGACGUCGAAGGAGCAGGCUACCAUGGUGUUGAACUCCAUCUUGUUCAUUUGGCAUGCCGAAUACUUGCUUCAACUCAUCACACCAAGAAACCGUAAGCGAUUCAAGAGCAGGAAGACCUUGAGCCAAGGUGAUUGGCACAACAUAUUCCAGUUUUGCACACUCUUUGAUGGAAAGAGUAUUCAAUUUGGGCAGGCGGAGAGGAAGGGAAGAAGUCUUUGAUUCUAUUUCACCAUCAAUUUUCGGAUCAGCGAAAAGAGUUUUCAAUUCGUCGCAGCAUCCUAUGUUGAGUUCUUCUAAAAGCACUAGGCUUUGAAUAAGGGAAGGAGAAAAAAGGGAUUUCAACUUACAACAGUUUACAAUUCCCAGAUGUUUCAAGUUUUUGAGGAAACCUUGUGGAGGCUGACCCUUGCAUAAGGCUUCCAACCGAGGCAUCUUUGCUAUAGAUAAUGUCUCCAAAUGAGUGAAUGCGGAAGUUGGCCCAUUCUUUGUGGCAGUAGC
RNAcentral lists this long non-coding RNA (21281 nucleotides) under Gossypium barbadense (sea-island cotton). Its description in RNAcentral is "long non-coding RNA (GBAR_LNC013177)". The record is from RNAcentral. Lineage: Eukaryota; Viridiplantae; Streptophyta; Magnoliopsida; Malvales; Malvaceae.